Long non-coding RNA from Mya arenaria, 2436 nucleotides. RefSeq lists it as uncharacterized. The record is from RefSeq and is a predicted model, not a curated record. The transcript has 9 exons. NCBI's taxonomy places the organism in Eukaryota, Metazoa, Mollusca, Bivalvia, Myida, Myidae.
AUUUAAAACAAAUCUCGAUAAGCUUUGGCGACCCAACCGCUUUGACAUAUCAUCAAUAUACUAAGACAAAGUUACUGAGAUACAAACCCGGAAGUGGAGACAGUUUACUGAAGAAGAUGCAAGGGUAUCUAUUUAGCCUUCGGGGCUAUAAAAUUGCCCUUACAGACCAAGUCUUGACAUUGAGGUCCUCGGUGAAAGGAAAUUUCCUUUGCUGCUUAUUGAGAGGCGACAAGGACUGAGGCGGGGUUGACGUUUGUGUGCCAUCCAUGUCUUCAGCCACCCAUCACGAAUAAACAUCCCGACAUACCAACAUUAGAACGGACGAUGCCAGUGGAAGAAAACCAAACCACGAUGUCCUCUCUACAGCCCAAUGUUUUACCAGACGACUCAGCGUAUAUACAACAGACACAUUGAGCGAAAAUGACACCACCGCACUGCAGAUGAGCGUAGUUGAUUUGAAUACAACCAGAGAUCAGUUACAGCUUUCAGACAUCAGCGACAAUGUCCUAACAGAGUUGAAUUCUACAGCAAGCCACAUCUGCCGAGCCAUCGGUAAGCUGGCAGAGACGGCAACAACUGAAUCAACCGUACACUUACAGCCUAUAUGGACGCACAGUGGAUGAUGAAUCCCGUCUCUGCAGUUGAGGAAUGAUCCGUUUUCAGACAGAACAUCGAUGUCAAGAGGAUGGAUGCAACAAGAGCAUUUAAUGGCUCAGCCGCAUUCCUAGAGUUAUUGGUGCAAUAUAUUGUACCUUGGUCCCCAUUAUCAUCCAGACCGGCAAUGAGGCAUCCUAUUUCUGAAGGAAGGAGUAUCACGCCUUGAACAUUCAAGCAGUUUUGAACAAUAAGUUGAGAUUCCUUGAAGUUGUGGCGCAAUGGUAUGGAGCCACAAACGAUGCCGCCAUAUUCUUACUAGUAUGAGAUGUCUGGUUUAAAGGCUCAUCUGGAGGCAAAUGAAGCUGGGGUGUUGCUGCGAUACUCAGGUUCUGCUCUUAUAAAUAACUUACUGACAUCCAUCCUCAGACUGCUUAGAUUGCAUACUAUGAUGUCGAUGCCAUGGGUGGUUUGGUAAUGGAUUUGGCUUUUGGCCUGCUUAUGUCACGCUUGAGAUAUCUGCACAGAAGCGGAGGCUGGCUGAUGUUUUCACCAGGUUAAUUGCAGUAGAUUGUCAUCACCUGCAUGAAACUACACAAUGUGUGCAUUGACAAUAGUCUAGAUUUCAAGGGCUGAAAAUGACAAUAACACUCAACCACUGGUGCAAGUUGGCCACGCGCACCAUCAUACUUGUCAAUGUUAACCUUAUUGAUAAAUUACUUAAAGUGACACUCCUAUUCAAAAUUAAUACAUACACAUGUAUAACAAACAACCAUUAUGACUGCUAAACAUUUAACUACUUACUUAAUCAUGCAUUUGUGGAAAAUAUUAAUUACUAAUAACAAUAUUGAAACCAUGUAUUUGAUAGCAGAAAGCACAAAAAUAUUAAAUAAUUGGUGAAUGCUUGAAGAUUUACUAUGUUAUACUAUAGUUUCAUUUGGUAGAAAUAUCGUGUUUUCUUUGAAAUUAAACUCGGUAUCCUUCAUAAGAGCCAUUGUUUUCGACAUUUAUUCAUCCUUUUUGGAACAUCAACAAAAAUCUUAUUAAUUUUGGUAAAAUGUAUUUGGGAGUAACAGUGCAUCUUUUAACAUACCAACAUUGAUUGAGGUAAAAUCAUUGUUAAGGUGUUGUUGUCGGGCGUAACUAGAAGUAUGUUUAAGAUAUUCAAAUAAAACUCGUUAAACUGUUGCCAGAGACAAUGUGCACAUGAUUGUUGAAUAAUGCUCCUUUAAUGAAUCAACUAACUCUCUGUUGCAUUUGCUAAGAGGUGGAAUCAUGUCCCUUUAAGGAAUGAAUUGACAAAUGGUUCCAUUCGCUCUAAGGCGGAAGGCGGAAUGUGCCACUUUAAUGAAUGAGCUGACAAUCGGUUGCAUACGCUCUGAAGCAGAAUCACGCCCCUUUAAUGACAGAACCGACUCUGGGUUGCAUUUACUCUGAAGUGGAAUCACGCCCCUUUAAUAAAUAAACUGACUGGGUUGCAUUCGCUCUGAAGCAGAAUCACGCCCCUUUAAGAAAUGAGCUGACAAUCUGUUGCAUACGCUCUGAAGCGGAAGUAUGCCCCUUUUAUGAAUGAACCGACUCUGGGUUGCAUUCACUCUGAAGUGGAAUCACGCCCCUUUAAUAAAUAAACUGACUGGGUUGCAUUCGCUCUGAAGCAGAAUCACGCCCCUUUAAGAAAUGAGCUGACAAUCUGUUGCAUACGCUCUGAAGCGGAAGUAUGCCCCUUUAAUGAAUGAACUGACUCUGGGUUGCAUUUACUCUAAAGUGGAAUCACGCCCCUUUAAUAAAUGAACUGACCCUGGGUUGCAUUCGCUCUGAAGCGGAAGUAUGCCCCUUUAUUGA